AGUUAAAGAGGCUGUCAUUUAUCUGAGUGUGUUUUGGCAAUCCUUUUUCAUGAGUGAACACUCCCUACCAAAUACGGUUAUGUUGUUAAACAGGAUUACUGUUUUUAGGGGUUACUGUAAUUCCUUUAGUGAAGGUUCCUUGUUUUAAUUAUACUAUUUAAAAUUUUUGUUGCAGGAGAAAUAACAAUCAGUUCCUAAGAGGAGCUGCCAUCCAUAGACACAACGAGAACUGGUAAGUGAAAGUUUCUACAACAUCGGAACUUGGCAACCAUAAAAAUACAGAUUUUAUCACAAUUUUAUCAGAUGAAUAAAGGAAAGAAGGGCACAUUCAUCAAUUUCAAGGUGUAUUUGUUUUGAUCCAAAUUGUUGAUGGGUUGCUGAAACACAGAAUUCUCAGAGGACAGUAGACCAACUGUAAGUCUCUGAUAGCGUAUCCUCUAGAUGAACCAAGCUCAUAUUGGUUGUAUCAAAAAGAGAAAAAAGUCAUCACAUCGGCCCAAAGAAACCAAGCCACAAGAAGGAAUGUAAUUUUCUAAGUGUAUUUUUAGGGCUGAUCUCGAAAAUGACGUUGGAUUUCGGCAAUCCUUUUUCCUGAGUGUACACUCUCCACCAAAUGAGGUUAUGUUGUUGAACAGGAGUACAGUUUGAAUUUUUCCGACUGGUGACUUGGACGGUCAACCGUUGGAAUUCGGCGGUUUACCCCAAAUCUCCACUAAGGCAGUGCAUGUUCGGGGAUCGAGCACGUCAACGUUUUCAUAUAAACAACAAAGAUGGCAGCGCAUUUUGUGCAGGUGUUUUGAAUGUACGGAUUGCAGUGGAGAUCCACACUCAAAACGGACUUGAAGCAACAACGUACUUAAUUAACAUUUAAAUAUGUUUACCAUCGAGUUAAUUUUAAUGCCUGAUAGUAGAGUGAAGGAGUGUUCUCCAGUUAAGAAAAAAGCUGAAGCGUCGCUGUGUAUUAUUGCAUUCAAAGAGAGAAAAAACAGCAGCCAGAAGAAAGAGCCUUUAGUACUCUUCAUUGGAGCUGAUCAUUAUUUUCUCGUAAUUGAAAUGGAUAGAGAUUGUGUUUCAAAAGGUAAAAAUUCUCACUAAUCAGGCAAAUAGGGAUUGUCCCCACCCUCCUUAUUCUGUGAGAGUACUAAACUUUUUUUGGGACAAUUUUGGUCAAUUUCGAGGCUUCAUCACUGAUUUUCAGCAGCCCCCAACCCCCUCCCCGCAAGCAUAAGACCUCUCCUGUCAGAUUUCCCGGGUCCAGCUGAAAUAGCACAGCUUCAUUUAAUCAUUCAAUCUAAUUUUUUUAAUUUAUGUUUAGUCAUACAUAUCGAAGACUUUAGCCUCCAAUACUCGUCUUCUACGCAUUUGCAAACAUUUGUGGUUUUUUUUUUUUUUUUCUUUUUUUUGUAACUGUCUUCUAAACACUUGCGUCAUUGUAUGGUGAAUUUUCCAUCAGUCUAGAUACUCAGACUCAUCACUGAUCAGUUUCUCUGGAAUAUCUAGCAUAAAUGGUUUAAAUGUAGGUAACACCUUGUAGGUCUUCCAGAUAGAGUAGUUGGUGGCUAAAAAAAUAAUUCUCACUAAUAUCAACUUCCGUUUGGAUUCAGUUCUUUACAAAUCGAAUAUUAAUGUAAGAUUUCUUGAGAUAAUGUAUUCUAAGAUGAGCCUAAUUUGCUGCUGGCAUGAAAAGAAGCAUAUACACUUUAGGUCCUGGCUGUGGUAUGAGAGGCUGUGCAACAGAAUCAAAUUAUUUUUUUGAGAUAAAUUCCUUACCUCUGAAUUAGAAAAGCCAUUGAUUCAGCUUUGUUCUGACACCAACACUAAUAAAACGAUCAGCCCAACAGGCAGCGUGCAUCAGAGGAAUUUGUACAUUAUUUGCACUGGGUCUGGGAAAUACUGAAAUAAUGGUUUAUUCCGCUGAAAACAAAGGAAUUUAUUUGAUGUUCAAUGCUUUAUGCAACUACUUACACAGAAUGGCAAGAGGCUGGUGUUACCUUUGACGCAUCAACGAAAAGGUAUCACAAAUGAUAUCGAAGUUAAAAGUUACAAAAUCAAGCAGCGCUACUAUUUUCUAAUUUCUUGAGAGCACUAGAUUUUCAUACCAAAUAAUCAGAAGUGUUCGGAGGCUGUUAAGUAAAUUUCGGUGGAAAACCCACCCUAUGAAGACAUUGGUACAAUGAACAAGUGGAGUGAAAUAGUUGCAAAGAGCAAACAAAUACUUACGUUAGUGUAACGGUGAGAGCUUAUUAAGGCUAAUACAGAGGAACUGAAACGAUUUAAAUUGAAUCACUUAGGAAUUAAUAUAAUAUAAUUGACAGCUUUGGACGCCUAGGUGUGCAGGGUGAUGAUAAAUAUGGCGGCGCGCAGCGGUCUGUCACAACGUUGAGAUUGCCGAACUUCCUAAAAACACACCGCCUCGGUGGAGAUUCGGGGUUAUCCGCCAAAUUCCAAUGGUUGACUGUCUAAGUUGCCAGUCAGCAAAACCUGUUACUUUUUAGGGGUUACUGUAAUUCUUUUAGUAUAGGCUCGUUGUUGUAAUUAUACUAUUUAAAAUUUGUGUUGCAGGAGAAAUAACAAUCAGUUCCUAAGAGGAGCUGCCAUCCAUAGACACAACGAGAACUGGUAAGUGAAAGUUUCUACAACAUUGGAACUUGGCAACCAUAAAAAUACAGAUUUUAUCACAAUUUUAUCAGAUGAAUAAUGGAAAGAAGGGCACAUUCAUCAAUUUCAAGGUGUAUAUGUUUUGAUCCAAAUUGUUGUUGGGUUGCUGAAACACAGAAUUUUCAGAGGACAGUAGACCAACUGUAAGUCUCUGGUCGUAUCAAAAAGAGAAAAAAGUCGUCACAUCAGCCCAAAAAAACCAAGACUCAAGAAGGAAUGUAAUUUUCUAGGUGCAUUUUUAGGGCUUGUCUCGAAAAUUACGUUGGGUUCUCUGGAUCCUCACGGUAUGCUUGGAAAAAUCGGAAUUUGCAUGUACUCCAAAAAAAAAAAUCGAGGUUUACCACAGGAAGUUCAGUUGUGUGGGAACUGAGUAAAUAAUAGAGGACAAGGGAAAUGAAAGAAGAGCCAAUUAUCGCAUCAACCUGAGUGGAUCAGUUAUCAUUUUGUUACCAUCUAACUUUCUGUUGAAUGGUGUGAUUCUCGAAUGUGACAUAUGUGUCUUCUUUUCUUUCCCCAAUUGGAAGUAGGUGAUUGUUAAAUGCACCUUUUCAGAAUCAUUGCAAAAAGCCCACCUAGAAUCUGUGACAAAUUUUAGGCGAACCCAAGUGUCUGUUGACCAGCAGCCUGAUUAUUGAUGCUCAUGUCAGCACGAAAAGACUUUAAAAACUGAUCAGAUAAAGGAUUAUCAUGUGUUAGCCUACCGACAAAGCCUGAUAAAGCUUUAACAAU
Molecule: long non-coding RNA, 3387 nt
Filed under: Bemisia tabaci
Lineage: Eukaryota; Metazoa; Arthropoda; Insecta; Hemiptera; Aleyrodidae
Description: lncRNA ENSASIAIIG002903
Source: RNAcentral